RNAcentral lists this ribosomal RNA (461 nucleotides) under uncultured bacterium. Its description in RNAcentral is "bacterial SSU rRNA". It matches the Rfam family "Bacterial small subunit ribosomal RNA", at positions 338 to 795 of the family's 1533-position model. The record is from RNAcentral.
CCUACGGGAGGCAGCAGUGGGGAAUAUUGCGCAAUGGGCGAAAGCCUGACGCAGCAACGCCGCGUGAGUGAAGAAGGCCUUCGGGUUGUAAAGCUCUGUCAGAGGGAAAGAAUGUGACUGGCUACACCAGUCUUUGACGGUACCCUCGAAGGAAGCACUGGCUAACUCCGUGCCAGCAGCCGCGGUAAUACGGAGAGUGCAAGCGUUGUUCGGAAUUAUUGGGCGUAAAGCGCGUGUAGGUGGUUCGAUAAGUCUGAUGUGAAAGCCCAGAGCUUAACUCUGGAAGUGCACCGGAAACUGUCGAACUUGAGUACUGGAGGGGGAAGUGGAAUUCUCGAGUGUAGAGGUGAAAUUCGUAGAUAUUCGGAAGAACAUCAGUGGCGAAGGCGACUUCCUGGACAGAUACUGACACUGAGACGCGAAAGCGUGGGUAGCAAACAGGAUUAGAUACCCCUGUAGUC